Molecule: ribosomal RNA, 400 nt
Filed under: Hypophthalmichthys molitrix (silver carp)
Lineage: Eukaryota; Metazoa; Chordata; Actinopteri; Cypriniformes; Xenocyprididae
Description: partial 12S ribosomal RNA
Source: RNAcentral
CAAAGGCAUGGUCCUGACCUUAUUAUCAGCUCUUACCCGACUUACACAUGCAAGUCUCCGCAAUCCCGUGAGUAUGCCCUCAAUCCCCUGCCCGGGGACGAGGAGUGGGCAUCAGGCACAAAUUUUAGCCCAAGACGCCUGGCCAAGCCACACCCCCAAGGGAAUUCAGCAGUGAUAAACAUUAAGCCAUAAGUGAAAACUUGACUCAGUCAAGGUAAAGAGGGCCGGUAAAACUCGUGCCAGCCACCGCGGUUAAACGAGAGGCCCUAGUUGAUAAAACCACGGCGUAAAGGGUGGUUAAGGAAAGCAAAACAAAUUAAAGCCAAAUGGCCCUUUGGCCGUCAUACGCUUCUAGGUGUCCGAAGCCCAAUUAUACGAAAGUAGCUUUAUAAAGCCCACC